Molecule: small RNA, 28 nt
Filed under: Bombyx mori (domestic silkworm)
Lineage: Eukaryota; Metazoa; Arthropoda; Insecta; Lepidoptera; Bombycidae
Description: ovarian small RNA-5218
Source: RNAcentral
GAUGUCAAAAGCUUGAAGCUUUAGAGCC